This 1113-nucleotide long non-coding RNA is filed under the name Mytilus galloprovincialis (Mediterranean mussel). Lineage: Eukaryota; Metazoa; Mollusca; Bivalvia; Mytilida; Mytilidae. The record is from RNAcentral.
CUAAACUACAUUCUUUAUAAAACAUCUAUUAAAACAAACAUGAUAACUUUUAUUCAUGCUACAAAAUUAGACAGGAAAAAUAACCGAAAACAUUUAUUAGCACUGCCUCAUACUUCUACUGAAUCAAACAUGCCAAUAGUCCUGCCGAAAUACAACACAGAUUGUUUUCAUUAAAGACGUGUUCAUCUUAUUAAACACAUAUAUUGUCAAUUGGAGUAUCGAACAUACUUAUAGUUCCGUGUAUUGUAUCUCAAUAUAUUUGAUGUAUGUUCUAUCCCUAACAUUUUAUAAAUUGUUGUAUUAGUACCAAUGUUUUGUCUGAUUCAAAGAUUUUUGAAUCGAAUAAUCUCUUCAUUACGUACCGGCAUUGUUCUUGGAAACAUAUUUGUUCAUAGAAGCACGAUAGGGAUUUGUCACACUCUUUAAAAACAAUUUUGUAGAGGAAAAACAAUCUAACUUUUUUUAACGAAGACAGCAGUGAUAAAUGCAGAAAGAAGAACACAUGCAAACAGAGACAGCCAGUUUUCCUUCAAAAUCCUUUUUGUGAAUAAAGAUGCUGAAAUCGGAAUAAACGUUUUGUGAGUAUACUUUGCACGAUAUGUGUUUAAAACUACAUCUGCAUCUUGUGAAGUAUCAAUUUCAAAGAUUUCAAGCAAACGUUUUGUGUGAUCAUUUUUUCAAAAUAUCAUGAGAAAGAGCACAUUUCCGCUUCAAACAUUUACCAAGAAACCAGUCUUUACAUAUGUGAGUAAAUGGACAGUGAAAAUCACCAAGCAAACAUCCCUUGUAAUUAUGAUAACAGCAGGGACCCGUCACUCCAUUUUUUGCCAUAUCAGCCAGCUUUUCUUUACAUUUUUGCCUAUAGGUUUCCAGAAUGCAAUCAUAAUUGCCUUCGGUGAUAAAACCAAGGUCAACGAGGAUUUCCCUUGACUGAUUGGUUACCAAGUUAUGAUUUUUGUCACAACUCCCAUCACAUAUGUCAUCAUUGAUUAUGUACUUUGCACAUAUGUGUGGAUAUCGACAUGUUGAAAGUUUGUGUUCUUUAUCACGAUUGUAAUCGAUACAUGGAACUGCAACGAACUUAAUGUUCCUUCUGCUGCUUACAAGGUGAUC